This is a long non-coding RNA of Bombina bombina (fire-bellied toad), 528 nucleotides long. RefSeq lists it as uncharacterized. The record is from RefSeq and is a predicted model, not a curated record. NCBI's taxonomy places the organism in Eukaryota, Metazoa, Chordata, Amphibia, Anura, Bombinatoridae. The transcript is spliced from 2 exons.
ACCUGUGUUUAAACUGUAUCUUUUUUCCUCUGCAGUAUUUCAGGAGAAACCAUUCUUGCAGUUUAUUCCAUUUCCAUGCAUGCAUAAUUCUAUCUGCCUAAAGUCCUGUUGGAAACUACUUUCUCAGUGAGUACAUUUAAAGUUUAUUUGCAGUUUUUUUUUUUUAUUUCAAACAGCCGGAUCUACUUUCUACUCCAGCGGAUUGAUCUACCUUCAGUGUUUUCUUCCUCACUCUCUCUAAGCAAAAAAGGAAAGUGAAGAAUAGAAGCAGUAAAAUUGCAAGAAUUGAAGCAAAAAAGCAUAUUUGAACAUGUCCACUAGAUGGGGAUAGCUCUUCACAUAGUACUGCAAAGGGUCAGGAAUCAUUUGGGCGAGAGAAACUCUGGUAACAUUCCCUAUACUUGUUUGCAUAUGUGGGUGUAUAAAUAAGGGGCUUUGAGUGUUGUAAGGGUUACCUUGAGAAAGGCCCAUGUGAGGGCCGAAAUGUUGGAAAAUAUGAAAUCUCUAAUAAAUGGAUAUAUACUUCAA